CGCUCGACACCUACGGGGGCAGCAGUGGGGAAUAUUGCACAAUGGGGGAAACCCUGAUGCAGCGACGCCGCGUGGAGGAAGAAGGUCUUCGGAUUGUAAACUCCUGUUGUUGGGGAAAAAGAGGAUGGUACCCAACAAGGAAGUGACGGCUAACUACGUGCAAGCAGCCGCGGUAAUCUGAGCGGGCUGGCAAGGC
Molecule: ribosomal RNA, 196 nt
Filed under: uncultured bacterium
Lineage: Bacteria
Description: partial 16S ribosomal RNA
Rfam family: Bacterial small subunit ribosomal RNA
Source: RNAcentral